Molecule: long non-coding RNA, 2026 nt
Organism: Lepidothrix coronata (blue-crowned manakin)
Lineage: Eukaryota; Metazoa; Chordata; Aves; Passeriformes; Pipridae
Source: Ensembl
CUGUGGGCUCCUCCAGAGCCGUGAAGAAGGGGGAACUCCAGCCCCACCAUGACAAGACCGGGUCUUCCGUGCAUGGCGACUCCACCCAUGUGAGAGCUCUCUUAUGUGAGUCCUCAGCAGCACAUUGUGCUGUCUGUGGUCUAUGGACACUGACUGCCAUCUAAGCAACACCACAGCUCCCUCCUCUCCCCCUAGACGCCACUGUCUUAGAGCCUCCAUGUGCAUUUGCUAUGACAUACAUCAGUGUUGAUGAGAGACAGGAACACUGCCGGGUGAUCUCGAGCUGCCAAAAUAAUCAGCUCUGUGCACAACAUGGCUUAAAGGAUUUUUCGGUUAGCAGCAUGCAUCCACUAAAGAGCCUAGACACUCACAUUUUUUCUGGGGACUUCCACACUCUAGACUACUGCCACACAGGCAAGGCACCUUUGGCCGGUUCUGUGGAAAACCGGAUGUAUCGGAGUGUGGAGAACCUUCACUGGGCAACUGUUGCCGACUCUGGGCUGUAUUCUCACUGCCGGAGCCUGGAUAACGAGAUCGUCUUUCGCUAUAGAGGCACCAGUCAGUGGACAGAAGGCUGUGUGGAUGUGGCCCCAGUACAGAGCACGUCGGACUCUCCGAGAAACCUUUCUCUCCGUGCUAAACAGACGUCUCGAUCGGCACAGAACGUGCUCCUCCCUCCCUUUGCCAAAGUGCCUCAGUGGCUCUUCCCUUCUGCAGAGGAAAGAGCCCUACAUGGGGAUGCCAGAAAAGAGCUGAAGGAGAAGCUGAGGCUGCACAGCAGUAAGGUGGCAGAGCCCUGUAAGCCAGUGCGUCCCCAGGUGGCCCUGCCUGACCUGAUGGCCCGGGAGUUCUUUGAGUGCCAGGUGUGUCAGCAGUGCAAGAACGGUUGUGCUGUCAACUACUGCACGGUGUUGGUGGAACACACUGCCCUCAGGCACGGCCUCACGGGGAGACAGGGACUGUGCUUUGCACACAGGAUCAUCAGUCCAGAAGACAUCAAGCAGGAGGCUCAGAGGAGGCUUCAGCUCCGAAGGCAGAAUAGCUCCCCCAGUUUGCCCCUUCAGCACACAGGGGAAAGCCAUGAGAUGGGCAAAUCCAGAACAGCAGAAACCCUAGAACAAUACAGUGGGGAAACAGAUGGCAAAGUCACAUUGGGACAGAGCAAGAAAGGUUACUGUAAAGGGAGGCUCUACAUACCCACCUUUGAGGAAUUUAAGCAGAUGAGAAGAAAGGAAGGAAAUUCAUCUACCAGCAGCAGUGAGACAACGGAGUGCUUGAAUAAGGGUCUGCCUGCAAACCAGACACUGGAGGAGGAAAAGAAUGUCUGUCCAGAAGCUUUGGGGACCAAAGCUGUCAAUGAAUCUGCUGUCACAGCGGAGGAUGAUGACAAUGUAUUCCAUGAAAACCACACCUCUGCUGGCUUUUCCCAGUAUCCAGCCACAUGGGAUGGUUUCAGGAUGAGCAGUCCUGAGCUGAAGGACAAAACCUUCCAUACCUCUAGCCCAGAUACAUCGCCAGUCCCUAUUUGCUCCAGUCCAAUUCCACGAUCACCUUUACAGGCAGUAGCAAUACACAGAACUGGGCAGGAGAUCUUGAGUGAUGAGCAGCAGAAAGGAGAGACAAGAAAAUUAAAUGAUGUCCUCCACCUUACAGGGCAGUCCCUGGCUUCUGAAGCCCAGUCCUCUUGCUGUUCAUCGCUGCUGUUAGAAGCUACAGACUUAUCCAGCUAUGGAGCUAAGCUACAAAAAAUGAAGGAUGAAUUCAUAGGUUCAGCCUUGGAACUUAUUAAGAAAAGCUGCAAUGCUGAGACUGCUGCCAAAUCCCCCUCUAAGGGACAGUGUGAUCUGAGGGAAGCUGAUCUCCCACCUUCGGAGGACAGCCAGCAGCCCACAGCGAUGUCCGUGGCAACAGAGACCUGGGAGAACAAGCCAAGCAAUGAGACAGCCAGCGCCACUCCACCUGCAGGGAAUGUAAGGGAGAGGAAUUCACCUCUCAUCUUGGGCACGUGUUCAGGAUUUUUUUCCUC